UAGGAAGAAAAGAAGAUACAAAAUCAACUUCAGAUUCUGAGAUUAUCUCUGUGAGUGAUACACAGAAUUAUGAGUGUUUACUUAGGCUACAUAUCAAAAAGAAAUAAAGACAACAAAUGGCAAAAUAGAAGAGUCUCCUGAAAAGCCUUCUCACUUUGAGCCUGCCACUGAAAUGCAAAACUCUGUUCCAAAUAAAGGCUUAGAAUGGAAGAAUAAACAAACAUUGAGAGCAGAUUCAACUACCCUAUCAAAAAUCUUGGAUGCAGUUCCUUCUUGUGAAAGAGGAAGGGAACUUAAAAAAGAUCACUGUGAACAAAUUACAGCAAAAAUGGAACAAACAAAAAAUAAGUUUUGUGUACUACAAAAGGAACUGUCAGAAGCAAAAGAAAUAAAAUCACAGUUAGAGAACCAAAAAGCUAAAUGGGAACAAGAGCUCUGCAGUGUGAGAUUGACUUUAAAUCAAGAAGAAGAGAAGAGAUGUCGAUAUAUUAAAAGAAAAAAUUAGACCUGAAGAGCAACUUAGGAAAAAGUUAGAAGUGAAACAACAACUUGAACAGGCUCUCAGAAUACAAGAUAUAGAAUUGAAAAGUGUAACAAGUAAUUUGAAUCAGGUUUCUCACACUCAUGAAAGUGAAAAUGAUCUCUUUCAUGAAAAUUGCAUGUUGAAAAAGGAAAUUGCCAUGCUAAAACUGGAAGUAGCCACACUGAAACGUCAACACCAGGUGAAGGAAAAUAAAUACUUUGAGGACAUUAAGAUUUUACAAGAAAAGAAUGCUGAACUUCAAAUGACCCUAAAACUGAAACAGAAAACAUUAACAAAAAGGGCAUCUCAGUAUAGAGAGCAGCUUAAAGUUCUGACAGCAGAGAACACGAUGCUGACUUCUAAAUUGAAGGAAAAACAAGACAAAGAAAUACUGGAGACAGAAAUUGAAUCACACCAUCCUAGACUGGCUUCUGCUUUACAAGACCAUGAUCAAAGUGUCACAUCAAGAAAAAACCAAGAACUUGCUUUCCACAGUGCAGGAGAUGCUCAUUUGCAAGGAAUAAUGAAUGUUGAUGUGAGUAAUACAAUAUAUAACAAUGAGGUGCUCCAUCAACCACUUUAUGAAGCUCAAAGGAAAUCCAAAAGCCCAAAAAUUAAUCUCAAUUAUGCAGGAGAUGAUCUAAGAGAAAAUGCAUUGGUUUCGGAACAUGCACAAAGAGACCGAUGUGAAACACAGUGUCAAAUGAAGAAAGCUGAACACAUGUAUCAAAAUGAACAAGAUAAUGUGGACAAACACACUGAACAGCAGGAGUCUCUGGAGCAGAAAUUAUUUAAACUAGAAAGCAAAAAUAGGUGGCUUCGACAGCAAUUAGUUUAUGCACAUAAGAAAGUUAACAAAAGCAAGGUAACAAUUAAUAUUCAGUUUCCUGAGACGAAAAUGCAACGUCAUCUAAAAGAGAAAAAUGAGGAGGUAUUCAAUUAUGGUAACCAUUUAAAAGAAUGUAUAGAUCAAUAUGAAAAAGAGAAAGCAGAAAGAGAAGUAAGUAUCAAAAAAUAUAAAUACUUUUCAACCUUCCUGAAAGAAAAUGGCCUUGGCUAAAUGCUGAAUCUAGUUGAAUAUAUAUAUAUA
Molecule: long non-coding RNA, 1613 nt
Filed under: Homo sapiens (human)
Lineage: Eukaryota; Metazoa; Chordata; Mammalia; Primates; Hominidae
Description: non-protein coding lnc-LIPI-24:1
Source: RNAcentral